Molecule: ribosomal RNA, 1437 nt
Filed under: uncultured organism
Description: 16S ribosomal RNA
Rfam family: Bacterial small subunit ribosomal RNA
Source: RNAcentral
GCUGGCGGCGUGCUUAACACAUGCAAGUCGAACGGAAAGGCCCUGCUUUUGUGGGGUGCUCGAGUGGCGAACGGGUGAGUAACACGUGAGUAACCUGCCCUUGACUUUGGGAUAACUUCAGGAAACUGGGGCUAAUACCGGAUAGGAGCUCCUGCUGCAUGGUGGGGGUUGGAAAGUUUCGGCGGUUGGGGAUGGACUCGCGGCUUAUCAGCUUGUUGGUGGGGUAGUGGCUUACCAAGGCUUUGACGGGUAGCCGGCCUGAGAGGGUGACCGGCCACAUUGGGACUGAGAUACGGCCCAGACUCCUACGGGAGGCAGCAGUGGGGAAUAUUGCACAAUGGGCGGAAGCCUGAUGCAGCAACGCCGCGUGCGGGAUGACGGCCUUCGGGUUGUAAACCGCUUUCGCCUGUGACGAAGCGUGAGUGACGGUAAUGGGUAAAGAAGCACCGGCUAACUACGUGCCAGCAGCCGCGGUGAUACGUAGGGUGCGAGCGUUGUCCGGAUUUAUUGGGCGUAAAGGGCUCGUAGGUGGUUGAUCGCGUCGGAAGUGUAAUCUUGGGGCUUAACCCUGAGCGUGCUUUCGAUACGGGUUGACUUGAGGAAGGUAGGGGAGAAUGGAAUUCCUGGUGGAGCGGUGGAAUGCGCAGAUAUCAGGAGGAACACCAGUGGCGAAGGCGGUUCUCUGGGCCUUUCCUGACGCUGAGGAGCGAAAGCGUGGGGAGCGAACAGGCUUAGAUACCCUGGUAGCCCACGCUGUAAACGGUGGGUACUAGGUGUGGGGUCCAUUCCACGGGUUCCGUGCCGUAGCUAACGCUUUAAGUACCCCGCCUGGGGAGUACGGCCGCAAGGCUAAAACUCAAAGGAAUUGACGGGGCCCCGCACAAGCGGCGGAGCAUGCGGAUUAAUUCGAUGCAACGCGUAGAACCUUACCUGGGUUUAACAUGGAUCGGGAGUGCUCAGAGAUGGGUGUGCCUCUUUUGGGGUCGGUUCACAGGUGGUGCAUGGCUGUCGUCAGCUCGUGUCGUGAGAUGUUGGGUUAAGUCCCGCAACGAGCGCAACCCUUGUUCACUGUUGCCAGCACGUUAUGGUGGGGACUCAGUGGAGACCGCCGGGGUCAACUCGGAGGAAGGUGGGGAUGACGUCAAGUCAUCAUGCCCCUUAUGUCCAGGGCUUCACGCAUGCUACAAUGGCUGGUACAGAGAGUGGCGAGCCUGUGAGGGUGAGCGAAUCUCGGAAAGCCGGUCUCAGUUCGGAUUGGGGUCUGCAACUCGACCUCAUGAAGUCGGAGUCGCUAGUAAUCGCAGAUCAGCAACGCUGCGGUGAAUACGUUCCCGGGGCUUGUACACACCGCCCGUCAAGUCAUGAAAGUUGGUAACACCCGAAGCCGGUGGCCUAACCGUUGUGGGGGAGCCGUCGAAGGUGGGACUGGUGAUUAGG